RNAcentral lists this transfer RNA (72 nucleotides) under Akkermansiaceae bacterium. RNAcentral describes it as "tRNA-Thr". It matches the Rfam family "tRNA". Rfam says of the family: Transfer RNA (tRNA) molecules are approximately 80 nucleotides in length. Their secondary structure includes four short double-helical elements and three loops (D, anti-codon, and T loops). Further hydrogen bonds mediate the characteristic L-shaped molecular structure. tRNAs have two regions of fundamental functional importance: the anti-codon, which is responsible for specific mRNA codon recognition, and the 3' end, to which the tRNAs corresponding amino acid is attached (by aminoacyl-tRNA synthetases). tRNAs cope with the degeneracy of the genetic code in two manners: having more than one tRNA (with a specific anti-codon) for a particular amino acid; and 'wobble' base-pairing, i.e. permitting non-standard base-pairing at the 3rd anti-codon position. Lineage: Bacteria; Pseudomonadati; Verrucomicrobiota; Verrucomicrobiia; Verrucomicrobiales; Akkermansiaceae. The record is from RNAcentral.
GCUCAUGUAGCUCAGUGGUAGAGCGCGUCCUUGGUAAGGACGAGGUCGCGGGUUCAAUCCCCGCCAAGAGCU